CGACGUGAGAAACCUGCCUUUCAGAGGGGGACAACAGUUGGAAACGACUGCUAAUACCGCAUGACACAUUGGGGUCGCAUGGCCCUGAUGUCAAAGAUUUAUCGCUGAAAGAUGGCCUCGCGUCUGAUUAGCUAGUUGGUGAGGUAACGGCCCACCAAGGCGACGAUCAGUAGCCGGACUGAGAGGUUGACCGGCCACAUUGGGACUGAGAUACGGCCCAG
Molecule: ribosomal RNA, 221 nt
Filed under: uncultured bacterium
Lineage: Bacteria
Description: partial 16S ribosomal RNA
Rfam family: Bacterial small subunit ribosomal RNA
Source: RNAcentral